RNAcentral lists this long non-coding RNA (319 nucleotides) under Salmo salar (Atlantic salmon). Its description in RNAcentral is "lncRNA (ENSSSAG00000092813.1, ENSSSAG00000116931.1)". The record is from RNAcentral. Lineage: Eukaryota; Metazoa; Chordata; Actinopteri; Salmoniformes; Salmonidae.
UGGAGAAUGACUAACGUUAGUUCUGAAAACGAACGAUUCUCCCUCUCAUAAUUUUACCCUAUUAAUUCAGGUCACUGAUACUCCACCUGAUGUGGUGUAAGUAGUCGAACCAGAUCAGAACGCCUUUGAAGACCACCUUCAGGCACGGACUGAGAAGGAUGUGGAGGUUUUUGACCAGUUCUGACCAUUCUGCCUGCCCUGACCCUGAGCCUGUCUGUGGUUCUGUCCCUGGUUAACACUGCCUUGGAUUACUGACUUCUGCCAGCCCUGGACCUGCCCUUUGCCUGCCUUGUUUUGUAAUAAACAUCUGAAAUUCGAA